Poecilia latipinna (sailfin molly) is the source of this 781-nucleotide long non-coding RNA. RefSeq lists it as uncharacterized. The transcript is spliced from 2 exons. The record is from RefSeq and is a predicted model, not a curated record. NCBI's taxonomy places the organism in Eukaryota, Metazoa, Chordata, Actinopteri, Cyprinodontiformes, Poeciliidae.
UCACUCCACAGAAAAUAAUACAACCCAUAAAUAUCACCUGAUUGAAGAGAGGAAGACCUGGCAGGAAGCUCAGAGUUACUGCAGAGAGAAACACACAGACCUGAUCAGUGGAACGAAGCAGCUACAGGACGCAGAAAAUAUGAUGAAUAUAUCUGGAUACAUAAAGUAUAGGAGAGAACCAAUAUACAUUGGUCUGUUUAGUGACACCUGGAGAUGGUCAGAUGGAAGCACUAUCUCUUUCGAACCCUGGUAUCGACAGUUUUACUAUCAACCUAACAGUGGUCAAUGUGCCGUAACUGUGUUUUAUUAUGGAGGCAUAUGGAGGAAUGAGAACUGUGCUGAAAGAAAACCCUUCAUCUGUUAUUCACAUGAUAAAUUGAUCCUGAUCAAAGAAAAUAAAACCUGGCAUGAGGCCUUAACCUACUGCAGAGGUCACCUCCAUCAUGACCUGGUCACCAUCACCAACAUGGAUGAACAGAAACAGGUUCAGGAGAAAGUCAAGAACGCAUCGACUCCUUUUGUCUGGAUUGGACUGCGUUUCAACUGCAGUAGGAAUGUUUGGUUCUGGGUCUGUGAUAACUGGAUCUGGAAUGAACAAAAUGACUGUAACAUGUUUGGAGCCAUGCAGGCAGGAGGAGAACAUCGGUGGUUCCAAAGAAACGGCAGUGAGAGAUUUAACUUCAUCUGUACUAAAUAAUAAUUCUUCUUUUUAUUAUCACCUUUUCUUUCCCACUUUGUGCUUCUUUUCAGUUGUGGGUUUAAUAAAACUGACAAAACCAUA